GAUGAAAGAACGUAGCGAAAUGCGAUAAGUAAUGCGAAUUGCAGAAUUCAGUGAAUCAUCGAAUCUUUGAACGCACAUUGCGCCCGCCAGUAUUCUGGCGGGCAUGCCUGUCUGAGCGUCGUUUCGACCCUCGCGCCCGGCUUCUGUCGGGGGCGGUGUUGGGGAUCGACCACACCCUUCAGUGGGAGGCCGGCCCCUAAAUUCAGUGGCGACCACGCUGUAGCCUCCCCUGCGUAGUACUAAAACCACCUCGCAGGCGGAGAGCGGUGCGGCCCGCCGUAAAACCCCCCAACUUUUACAAGGUCGACCUCAGAUCAGGUAGGAAUACCCGCUGAACUUAAGCAUAUCAAUAAGCGGAGGA
RNAcentral lists this unclassified non-coding RNA (361 nucleotides) under soil metagenome. RNAcentral describes it as "partial contains 5.8S ribosomal RNA, internal transcribed spacer 2, and large subunit ribosomal RNA". The stretch from base 6 to 121 matches the Rfam family "5.8S ribosomal RNA", at positions 39 to 154 of the family's 154-position model. The record is from RNAcentral.